UCCCUCUCAGGAUCACACCUGGAGAGUUUCCAGUACUCUUCCAGUCUCGACUAUGGGAGGGAGAGUCAAGCAGAGGCAUAAUCAUUCCAUUCUUAGCCUGAGCAAUGGCUAGCGAGUGAAAGGCAAUUUGCUACAAGC
Tachyglossus aculeatus (Australian echidna) is the source of this 138-nucleotide small nucleolar RNA. The record is from RefSeq and is a predicted model, not a curated record. NCBI's taxonomy places the organism in Eukaryota, Metazoa, Chordata, Mammalia, Monotremata, Tachyglossidae.